GGUCUAAGUUCAACGCUUAACGUUGUGAUGCUAUAGAAAGUUUGACUAGAGUUGGAUAGAGGCAAGGGAAUUCCAUGUGUAGCGGUAAAAUGCGUAAAGAUAUGGAGGAACACCAGUAGCGAAGCGGCUUGCUGGGUCUUAACUGACGCUGAGGCACGAAAGCGUGGGGAGCAAACAGGAUUAGAUACCCUGGUAGUCCACGCCGUAAACGAUGAGUACUAAGUGUUGGGAGUGCUGAAGUUAACGCAUUAAGUACUCCGCCUGAGUAGUACGUACGCAAGUAUGAAACUUAAAGGAAUUGACGGGACUCCGCACAAGCGGUGGAUCAUGUUGUUUAAUUCGAAGAUACACGAAAAACCUUACCAGGUCUUGACAUACUCUGCAAAGCUAUAGAAAUAAGUGGAGGUUAUCAGGGAUACAGGUGGUGCAUGGUUGUCGUCAGCUCGUGUCG
RNAcentral lists this ribosomal RNA (451 nucleotides) under Candidatus Phytoplasma pyri. RNAcentral describes it as "bacterial SSU rRNA". It matches the Rfam family "Bacterial small subunit ribosomal RNA", at positions 593 to 1067 of the family's 1533-position model. The record is from RNAcentral. Lineage: Bacteria; Bacillati; Mycoplasmatota; Mollicutes; Acholeplasmatales; Acholeplasmataceae.